CAGGCUUAGAAUCCCGUAACUUCUUUCUGAUCCCAGGGCCCAUGGUGUCUCUGAAGCUAUUGCGUAGUUACUCCAGCUUACUUUUCUACUGCUGCCAAAGUAACUAGGGGCCAGGAAGAGAGUUCUAUGUAGAAUUCUGAGUGACUUGCUCAUUCUAUUUGAUUAUCUGUGUGUGUGUAUGUGCACUCUUCUUGAUUUGAAAACAAACCUCCAGUCCUCUGUUUGAAUUUAAGCAGCAAUAAACCAAUGACAAUAAUUCCACUCACAUUUGUCUAGAACUCUCCAUUAAGAGGAGGACUGUGGAAGAAAGUCCAACAAAAGGGACUGAAAAGGGACAAUCAGACUGAAGGUGGAAACCAGAAGUGCUGCCAGGCAAGAAGAGAGGUAUUUUACUCUCCUCUGCACUAAAGGAUAUCCUUGUAGAAAUUAAUCACGUCCAAGAACCCGCGGACAAAAUCGCUGGAGUUUCCAUCUCUUGGCUAGAGAACGUCCCUACAAGAAAAAGCUGACCCUUGACACCGCCAGAAACUUUCCCCAGACUUGGCCUUCAUUUGUAGGAGUCGCCCCUCUGAGGACGCCCCCCGCGAGUCCCAGAGGUUUUGUAACACUCAAGAAGUACAUGAAAGAGGCCUCUUUCAUCAAGUAUUCUUAAGUUAUGAAAAUGGAAUUGAAGCAUAUUUUCCCCCUUCGUAUGAGAGAGAACUUACGUGAAAUCAAGUAUUCGCGAUUUUUCAGAACUGCAUAUGGAGAAGUUGCUGAAAUUCAAUCUUGCUUCCAGAUAAAGUCAGCACAGCAUUACCCAGUUAUUAUGUAGCAUUUCCAUGCAAACUAAUAAAUAGUAUUUCAACUUAAAAUUUCGGUUUUUAAUCUAGAUGUAACUUAAAAACUCUUACAAGUAAAAACUCUUAGAAGUAAGCAUUCUUGUCCAUCAGAAGUUUGUACAGAAAAAGCAAAUUCAAAGGGACAAAUAUGGGCAGUGCCUUCCAGCACUGACAGGGGGAAAAGAUCCUGGCUCAAGAACACAGGUCUCUAGGCAAUGAAGCAAGUGUAUCCCUCAAGAGAGAAGAAUGCAUUAAGUUGUCAUGGCUUUGAAACAUCAGCCAUUUACACCUCCCAACUUAUUCCCCUGGUUCUGAACCCAGAUUCACUUGGUAACCAUUCCAUUGCUUAUAAUUCUUCUUUGCAUAUACUUGUAUCUGUAUCUACAUCUAUACCUACAGGGACAAAAUACAGCAGUCAAUAUAACUCAUUAGCUUGAUGGAUGUAUUUCUUAUUGUAAACUAAUAUAUUGGCAUUCUGAGAUAAAAAAGCUUUUUUAUUCAUGUGAAUAUUGUCAGUGAGAUCAUUUUAAAGUCACAUAACUCUCAGCCACACAUACGGAGGUAGAAGUUCCGUUUCUGGAACAUGAGACUAGAAAUUGUCAUUUGUCAUCCCUUUUUGCUUAUAAAAUACAGCCACUCCCAUACCUGCUACCACAAUGCCUUCCCCACCCCAUGGGAAAGGGAAGUAACACUUGUAAGAAAUGACAAGAGGUCUAACGUUGUCAGAGAAAUAAAGCUACUUGGGAAGGUUCACCCAGCCAGUAAGUAAUAGAGGUGAGAGUAACACUCAGGUCUGACAGAUGUCCUUUCAACUAAACUUGUGUCUUUACUUAGAUUCUACUGCUGGCAACAUGGGCCCUGACUAGGGGAAGCGAAUAAAAGUUCCCUGGUUGCUAGAGAAUACACACGCGUCCUGUUGUCUAUUUCUUCUAAGCAAGUCUAAACCUAUAUGUUGCCCAAGAAAUGGGUAUUCUGUAACUGGCACUCCUACCUCUGGUGGUCAUGUGAAGAAACCUUGUUUGAUCAUUUAGCUAUAUGUGUAUUUUGGAGUCCGAUUUUAAAAUGACUAGCAACACAAAGACAUCUGUUCAUAGUGAACUUAAGAAUUCAUUGUAUGCUCCUUAUCAGGCAAUUGGAAAAGCAAAGAGAAACGAUAGUUAUUUUACCAAGCAGAUUCAUGGUUGUCUUUCAUUGUCUAUUCAGAUCUCUUUAUUCGAUCUGGCUAUAUAAUGAGUUAUGAGCCCAGUUCCCAUG
Molecule: long non-coding RNA, 2075 nt
Filed under: Equus caballus (horse)
Lineage: Eukaryota; Metazoa; Chordata; Mammalia; Perissodactyla; Equidae
Description: lncRNA (ENSECAG00000058809.1)
Source: RNAcentral